This is a long non-coding RNA of Ornithorhynchus anatinus (platypus), 478 nucleotides long. RefSeq lists it as uncharacterized. The transcript has 2 exons. The record is from RefSeq and is a predicted model, not a curated record. Lineage: Eukaryota; Metazoa; Chordata; Mammalia; Monotremata; Ornithorhynchidae.
UUCUAACGGUUCUUCCUUUAUUGUUCCUGUGGUUUGUAGUCAUCUAGUUGCUAGUCUGCCUCUUCUACAUUUUCCCUGAAAUUUUCCUAACAUUAGUGAUUUCUCCAGAAAAUUUGUCCUUGUGCCAAGGUGGACUUGGGCACGAGCUACCCGAAGGUCAAAAUGCCAUCAGUGACGUAACCUCUCUGGCCAGAGGAGGCGGGACGGGAAGAUAGGUGUCCCUCACCUCCGUGCCCGCCCAAUAAGUUAUCCAACGGACAUCAGCAAGAAGAUUUCGCAUCUCUAGCCCUUUCCUUGGGAAUCCUGCUUGAUCAUCAGGCAAUUCACUUUCACUGUAGUUCUCCAUGUGAUUCUGUAUAACCUGUUGCAGUACCCUGGUAGCUGGUGUGUUUAAGGUAACUCUACGAUAACUUUUGGUGGGAGGGGGAGGGGCCUUGGAGAGUACAGUUUAACAAUAAAGAGAGACCUUCCUUGCCCA